UCAAGCUAUCCACUUGCCUCAGCCUCCCAAAUUGCUGAGAUUAGAAGAAUGAGCCACUGUGCCUGUGACUUACUUCUAACCCACAGAAUAGAGCAACAGUGAGAGGAUGUCAAUUCUGUGAUAGAUUGCAAAAUAUUGUAAGUUCCUAGCAGUCUUUCUCAUUGGUUUCAAUAAAAAAAAGCUGCUGUGCUGGAGGGACCCAUGAGGCAAAGAACUGAGAGCAGCCUUUAGCUAACAGCCGGCAAGGAAUGAGGUGCUUGGUCCAGCAAUCACAGAGAAACUGAAUCCUGCUGAUGAUCAUGAGGGUGAGCUUGGAAGCAGAUUCUGUCCCAGAUGAACUUUGAUUGUGUCUUGUUAGAAACCCUGGACCAACUCCUUGAUUGCACCUGUGAGAGGCCCUGAAGCGGAGGGCCCAGCUAAGGUGUGUCUGGAUUUCUGACCCACAGAAACUGAGAUCAUAAAUGUGUGGUUUUAAGCCCUACUCCAGCACUUUCACAGUCAUUUACGGCAUCUGCAGAGCAGUGAAAAAUUUGAAUUGCCUGAGAUACAUGCUCCCUGCUGAAGUCGCACAAGCUGGCCAAUCCUGCUAAUCCUUUAAAACUCACCUGGAGGGAAGGCCUCCUUCUGCAAAGCCUCUCUUGAUGCAGAUUAUCAGCUUUCACUCUCUACCAGAUGGCAAGGAUAUUGCUGUUGGCUCAUAGGAUGUGAACAGUGGUGUUGAGAUUACCCUCAUUUGGCUGAUGAUGUCAUUGAGGCCCAGAGAAGGUAGGACACCUGGCAGGGCCUGGCUUUGGGGCUAACUUCUGCAGCUCUUUUGAUUGCCCCCACCUUACAGUUUUUGGCACAGAGCACUGUGUAGCUGGCACUUCUCUACUGGCCCGAAUGAGAAAACUUCCUCAGAGCAAAAUGUCAAGCACCAAAUAAGAUUCAUGUUUACUGUGAAGUGAUUGCUGCUUUUUAAAUGCUUAUCAGAAGCCGAAGGACAAACUCAGUAGGUUGAUUCAUGCUGAGCUCGACUACCUCCGUGAGAAAUGACUCUCCUGUAGGGCUCGAUGACCUUCAUGUCAAUGCGCUGCUCUUGUUCUCCA
RNAcentral lists this long non-coding RNA (1088 nucleotides) under Homo sapiens (human). RNAcentral's name for it is "HSALNT0352913". Lineage: Eukaryota; Metazoa; Chordata; Mammalia; Primates; Hominidae. The record is from RNAcentral.